GUGCUCGCUUUGGCAGCACAUAUACUAAAAUUGGAAUGAUACAGAGAAGAUUAGCAUGGCCCCUGUGCAAGAAAGGUCAUUCAAAGGAGCUUCAAAGAUUAAAGAUAUUUUU
Suncus etruscus (white-toothed pygmy shrew) is the source of this 112-nucleotide small nuclear RNA. The record is from RefSeq and is a predicted model, not a curated record. Lineage: Eukaryota; Metazoa; Chordata; Mammalia; Eulipotyphla; Soricidae.